GGAAGGGUGGCCGAGCGGCUUAAGGCACCGGUCUUGAAAACCGGCGUGCAGUUUUCUGCACCGUGGGUUCGAAUCCCACUCCUUCCACCA
This 90-nucleotide transfer RNA is filed under the name Candidatus Tokpelaia sp. JSC188. RNAcentral's name for it is "tRNA-Ser". It matches the Rfam family "tRNA". From Rfam's summary of the family: Transfer RNA (tRNA) molecules are approximately 80 nucleotides in length. Their secondary structure includes four short double-helical elements and three loops (D, anti-codon, and T loops). Further hydrogen bonds mediate the characteristic L-shaped molecular structure. tRNAs have two regions of fundamental functional importance: the anti-codon, which is responsible for specific mRNA codon recognition, and the 3' end, to which the tRNAs corresponding amino acid is attached (by aminoacyl-tRNA synthetases). tRNAs cope with the degeneracy of the genetic code in two manners: having more than one tRNA (with a specific anti-codon) for a particular amino acid; and 'wobble' base-pairing, i.e. permitting non-standard base-pairing at the 3rd anti-codon position. Lineage: Bacteria; Pseudomonadati; Pseudomonadota; Alphaproteobacteria; Hyphomicrobiales. The record is from RNAcentral.